This 793-nucleotide ribosomal RNA is filed under the name Methanosaeta sp. enrichment culture clone A14114. RNAcentral's name for it is "bacterial SSU rRNA". It matches the Rfam family "Archaeal small subunit ribosomal RNA", at positions 85 to 879 of the family's 1478-position model. The record is from RNAcentral. Lineage: Archaea; Methanobacteriati; Methanobacteriota; Methanomicrobia; Methanotrichales; Methanotrichaceae.
ACUGCUCAGUAACACGUGGACAACCUGCCCUUAGGUUGGGUAUAAACCCGGGAAACUGGGUAUAAUACCCGAUAGGUCUCGAUUGCUGGAAUGCAUCGAGAUUUAAAGCUCCGGCGCCUAAGGAUGGGUCUGCGGCCUAUCAGGUAGUAGUGGGUGUAGCGUACCUACUAGCCUACGACGGGUACGGGUUGUGAGAGCAAGAGCCCGGAGAUGGAUUCUGAGACGCGAAUCCAGGCCCUACGGGGUGCAGCAGGCGCGAAAACUUUACAAUGCUGGCAACAGCGAUAAGGGAACCUCGAGUGCCAGGUUACAAAUCUGGCUGUCGAGAUGCCUAAAAAGCAUUUCAUAGCAAGGGCCGGGCAAGACCGGUGCCAGCCGCCGCGGUAACACCGGCGGCUCGAGUGGUAACCGUUAUUAUUGGGUCUAAAGGGUCUGUAGCCGGCCGGAUAAGUCUCUUGAGAAAUCUGGCAGCUUAACUGUCAGGCUUUCAGGAGAUACUGUCUGGCUCGAGGCCGGGAGAGGUGAGAGGUACUUCAGGGGUAGGGGUGAAAUCUUGUAAUCCUUGAAGGACCACCAGUGGCGAAGGCGUCUCACCAGAACGGACCUGACGGCAAGGGACGAAAGCUAGGGGCACGAACCGGAUUAGAUACCCGGGUAGUCCUAGCCGUAAACGAUACUCGCUAGGUGUCGGCCACGGUGCGACCGUUGUCGGUGCCGUAGGGAAGCCGUGAAGCGAGCCACCUGGGAAGUACGGCCGCAAGGCUGAAACUUAAAGGAAUUGGCGGGGGAGCAC